GAUGAACGCUGGCGGCGUGCCUAAUACAUGCAAGUCGAGCGAACAGACGAGGAGCUUGCUCCUCUGACGUUAGCGGCGGACGGGUGAGUAACACGUGGAUAACCUACCUAUAAGACUGGGAUAACUUCGGGAAACCGGAGCUAAUACCGGAUAAUAUAUUGAACCGCAUGGUUCAAUAGUGAAAGACGCUUUUGCUGUCACUUAUAGAUGGAUCCGCGCCGCAUUAGCUAGUUGGUAAGGUAACGGCUUACCAAGGCAACGAUGCGUAGCCGACCUGAGAGGGUGAUCGGCCACACUGGAACUGAGACACGGUCCAGACUCCUACGGGAGGCAGCAGUGGGGAAUCUUCCGCAAUGGGCGAAAGCCUGACGGAGCAACGCCGCGUGAGUGAUGAAGGUCUUCGGAUCGUAAAACUCUGUUAUUAGGGAAGAACAAAUGUGUAAGUAACUAUGCACGUCUUGACGGUACCUAAUCAGAAAGCCACGGCUAACUACGUG
Molecule: ribosomal RNA, 497 nt
Filed under: uncultured bacterium
Lineage: Bacteria
Description: partial 16S ribosomal RNA
Rfam family: Bacterial small subunit ribosomal RNA
Source: RNAcentral